This 690-nucleotide ribosomal RNA is filed under the name Triticum aestivum (bread wheat). Its description in RNAcentral is "partial small subunit ribosomal RNA". The record is from RNAcentral. Lineage: Eukaryota; Viridiplantae; Streptophyta; Magnoliopsida; Poales; Poaceae.
AUGGAGCGUUUCUCCCACACCGACCCGUCCAGAAGGCCGCGCGAGAGCAACAAGAUGGUGGUCUCCUCCCCGGCCAUCGAGCACGUGGAGUACAUCCUGCGCCAGCAUGCGGUGACCCUCACCGCGGCAGACAGAGCGCACGCCACGACUCCCAUGGCGGUGGGCAAGGCCCUUGACGAGCAGCUCCGCACCCCUCCGCACCAGCUCCGGGUCACGGCGCACCACCAGGAGGCCUUCCUGGUGCACUUCGGCCUGCCGGCGCACCGUGACAACGCCGUCCGUCGUGGAGUCCUCAAGGUCGACGACGACAAGUACUUCAUCCGUGCGUGGCACCCUAAUGAUCACGCGGCCAUCCUCAAGCUCUCGCUCCACGUCCGCAUCGUCGUCGAGAACCUCCCCAUGCAGUUCUGGAGCCUGGAGGGGGUGGAUGAGGCUUUCGGCGACUUCAGCCGCAUCGAUCGCCUCGACAGCCGCACGAACGAACGCGGCCACACCAAAACGUUCGCGUGCUGGCUGUGGGGGUGGGACGUCGCGCACAUCCCGACGAAGAGGGCGCUGUGGGUGCUGAAGCGCGGCGCUGGCCGCGUCGACCAGAUCCUUGGUUUCUCCCCGCCGGACUUCAGCGUGCCUCCACCGCCAAACGUCCACCGCUACGACCUCCUCAUCCACGUCGACAGGGUGGAGGACUAG